RNAcentral lists this ribosomal RNA (163 nucleotides) under Deschampsia cespitosa (tufted hair grass). RNAcentral's name for it is "5.8S ribosomal RNA". It matches the Rfam family "5.8S ribosomal RNA". Rfam says of the family: 5.8S ribosomal RNA (5.8S rRNA) is a component of the large subunit of the eukaryotic ribosome. It is transcribed by RNA polymerase I as part of the 45S precursor that also contains 18S and 28S rRNA. Functionally, it is thought that 5.8S rRNA may be involved in ribosome translocation. Lineage: Eukaryota; Viridiplantae; Streptophyta; Magnoliopsida; Poales; Poaceae. The record is from RNAcentral.
ACANGACUCUCGGCAACGGAUAUCUCGGCUCUCGCAUCGAUGAAGAACGUAGCGAAAUGCGAUACCUGGUGUGAAUUGCAGAAUCCCGCGAACCAUCGAGUCUUUGAACGCAAGUUGCGCCCGAGGCNAUUCGGCCGAGGGCACGCCUGCCUGGGCGUCACGC